CUUUAAUAUUUUUAUUAGUGAUAUUGCAGAAGGUCUUGAUGGUAAGGUAUGUCUUUUUGCUGAUGAUACUAAGAUAUGUAACAGGGUUGAUGUUCCAGGAGGGAUAAGCCAAAUGGCAAAUGAUUUAGGUAAACUAGAAAAAUGGUCAGAAUUGUGGCAACUGACAUUUAAUGUGGAUAAGUGCAAGAUAAUGCAUCUUGGACGUAAAAACCGAAGGGCAGAGUACAGAAUAUUUGAUAGAGUCCUAACCUCAACAUAUGAGGAAAGGGAUUUAGGGGUGAUUAUUUCUGAUGACUUAAAGGUAGGCAGACAAUGUAAUAGAGCAGCAGGAAAUGCUAGCAGAAUGCUUGGUUGUAUAGGGAGAGGUAUUAGCAGUAGAAAGAGGGAAGUGCUCAUGCCAUUGUACAG
This is a non-coding RNA of Pelobates cultripes (western spadefoot toad), 408 nucleotides long. The record is from the annotation of a GenBank genome assembly. NCBI's taxonomy places the organism in Eukaryota, Metazoa, Chordata, Amphibia, Anura, Pelobatidae.